This is a long non-coding RNA of Malaclemys terrapin pileata, 3419 nucleotides long. RefSeq lists it as uncharacterized. Lineage: Eukaryota; Metazoa; Chordata; Testudines; Emydidae. The record is from RefSeq and is a predicted model, not a curated record. The transcript is spliced from 3 exons.
CGGGCUGCCGCGCUCCUGGCCGGGGCUGCGUGUGCAGGGGCCGGGCCACCCCCGGCGUGUGUGAGUCGCGGAGGCGCUGCAGGGGCUGCGGCUGGAGGCGGCGGUGCGAGGGGGGGACUCGGUGCAGGCAGGACAUUGCUGUGGGGGUUGGUGCAUCCGUCGCUUUAUUUCGGGCUGUGGGGCGGGGCUCCCCUUCCCCCUCCAGCCCCGCGAGCUUUGUAUGCGCCCUGGGGGGGGGGUGGUAGGGCGGGCGGCGGAUCCGCUGCUCCAAGCGCCUCAGCCAUUCCCCCUCCCCCCCGCAGUUGUGGGGCUCUGAGCUUCCGGCCCUGGCACCAGACUGGGGGGGGUGUGGCUGGUCCCGGUCACUGGGUGGCUGUGAGGGACACAGCCCCAGCCCCGCCCCCCCAGGGGGAUGCUGCAGCAGGGAACUAGAGCGCAGAACACCCCCCCCCCCAGCUCCUUGCAGUGGGGGAAGGUGCUGCAGGGCAAGUCCCACUCCCCAUCCACCAGCUCCUGGGGGGGGACGGACGCGGGGAGAGUGUGUGUCUAUCUUAGAGGCUUAAACUGCACUGAGCAUGCUCGGUAACAUCUGCUGAAGCCACUGCCCUUCUCCCUGCCCUUACUUGGCAUCAGAUUCCGAUGACUACUUUUUACCUGGGUGAUGUAAGCAGAGUGAGGAUGAGCUCUACCCUGACAUCUGGUGGUGAAUUAUGGCGAGUGUGGAAAAGAACUCCAGGGGCUGAUCUUGUUUGCAUAGGUACGCCCACCCGCCUGGCAUGAAACAACAGCAACUGAUAGUCGUUACUUUGGAUGGGGUGGGAUCCCCAGUUUAUCUGUUAUUGGGGCAGGAGGAAUAAAGUGUUGUUACCUGAUUAUGUGAAUCAAGGCCAGUGGAACUGUUGUAUGACAGAAGGACUCACCAUUACCUAAGUAGCACUUGCUUGACAAGGGGCAUGGGUUACAAACCCCCACAGUGAAUUGAGAGAGGUUGGUCGUAGGUAUUUAUAUUUAGUGGUGUGGGCUCUUUCUGUGAGCCUGAAACACCAAUUGCACUGCCCCCCUUCCUGCUGCCACCCACCUGUUGAGUGUCAGAGUUAACUUUGAUUCCAUUAGGAGUCUAGUUACAAGCUGCUGAACUGAGUUCACUUUGGGCCAAUGAUGCACUAGCACUGGGGCUUCCCUACUAAGAGCUGAAAUCACUAAAGAGCAAAGUUACUAAGAGCUGAGAUCACUGAGGCUGUGUUAACUAGUGGGGAAACCUGAAGCUAUAUUGCCAAGUGGAUGGCGGAGCAGUUUGCAGGGCCGGCUGGAGGAGCAGCUAGCAGAGCGGAGCCUUGCGGGGAUGGUUGGAGCGGUCCAAGGGACAGUUGAAGUGGAGUGGAGCCAAGCGGCUCACAGGUUGGUAAGUGGAGCAGAGCGGAGCAGCUGGCAGAGCAGAGCAGUUCGUGGGACGGCAGGAACGGCUCACGGGACAGCUGGUGGAGUGGAGCGGCUCGUAGUGAAGGCUGCGGCGGAACCCCACGGAGAGGCGGCCGGUCGGCCACGGAUCAUGGGCUGGUGACCUUUAAGGAGGUGGCUGUGUAUUUCACUAGGGAAGAGUGGGCUCUGCUGGACCCCACUCAGAGAGCCCUCUGCAGAGACGUCAUGCAGGAGAACUAUGAGAAUGUGACCUCGCUGGGUAUUGACUUUUCAGUCCUGGUUUCCCAAAGAGGCAGUGGGUGCUACGUACUAACUGAGAUCAUGUCUACACUUACCUCCAGAACGAUCGAUCCAGCGGGCGUCAAUUUAUCGCAUCUAGUAAAGACGCAAUAAAUCGACCACUGAGUGCUCUCCCGUUGACUCUGGUACUCCACCGGAGCAAGAAGCAUAGGUGGAGUCGACGGGGGAGUGUCAGCUGUCAACCUACCGCAGUGAAGACACCGCAUAAGUAGUUCUAAGUACGUCGACUUCAGCUACGCUAUUUUCGUAGCUGAAGUUGCAUAAUUUAGACCGACUUAGCUUGCCCCCCACCCUCCCGCUAAUGUAGACCAGGCCUGAGAUAAAUGUCAAGUGACAGAGAUCCAUCAGGGAACAAAGAGAACCACAGUUUCAGCCCCUGCUGUGUGUAGUAAAAUGUUAAAGAACAAGAUAUUAUACAGCAGAAAAUCUGCCCUUAUAAAUCCUGAAACAGGAACCGAGGAGGCAGCUGUCCAUUUAGUUAUUAAUCCCAAUCACAGAACUUCACUCAGGCCGUGUGAUCCACACUCAGACGCUUGAAUAUUUCAAUUCUAACACCAAAUUAUUGUUGACAUUUAAGCCACAACUUCAGAGCUUCUGCCUUAGAUCUCGCCAGCAUGUAGCUAACCUUCUGCCGGUGGCUUCUACAGAUAAAUACCUUAAUACAGGCACAGACAUUAAUACACAGAAUGUUAAUGGUAUGUAUCCAACAGCUCAGGUUCUUUGAACACUUUCACCGAACUAGGAGCACAUGAUCAAUCAUUUGGUAGGGCAGCAUUUUAGGGUUAUUUAGAUUUGGGCCUUAUUCUUUUUAGCUCCUUUCCUGCAUGGAUGUGACAGGUUAUAUACACACAUGCACACACUGAGCCCCAGUGUACCACCAGAGUAAAAUAGAAAGGCUGGGAUGUCUCCCACUUGAUAAAAAUAAAGUGUGAUGUUGCACUCCAUAUGUUUUAUGGAAAUAUGCUAAUGAGUGUAAAUAUAAUGUAAUUAGAAUAUGCUUUAUGCAAAAGGUCUCUUGUAAGGUAUCAUUACAAAGUUUAUGAUCUACUGAGUGUGUUCAUCCUAUUUGUUUGCAUGGAUUAUUUCUAUGUCUGGAGUUAGGAGAAUAAGAUAUAAACUUGUAUUACUGAUGUAAACAUGUUAAGUGGAAGCCAUUAAGGGUGCUUCAGAAUCAAUCACCUGUAAAUGGCUCUGUUUACUUACAAACCUUCCGGGGGUACGUGCCAGGCAACCUUGGAAGAAUGGAGACUAGGGGUCUCACAGGACAUGUGAACAUGUCACAUGAUACUGGAAUCCAUCUUAAACCUGGUGCUUUUCCAUUUAUAAGGUGGGGUGGGAACCCAGAGAGAGACAAAGGAUUCCUGCCUUUAGAUAUAAAGAUAUAAAAGGGGGUGGAACAGAACAAAGGAGGCUGCCAGUCAUGAGAAAUCCCCUAGUUACCACCUGAGCUGCAACUAAGGAUUGUACCAGGGGAAAGGAUUGGGCCCAGACUAGGAAGAAGUCUGGUCUGUGAAAGAAGCUUAUUGGAACAUCUCUGAGGGUGAGAUUUACCUAUAUUCAGUUUCUUAAUGUAUUAGGCUUAGACUUAUAUGUUUUGCUUUAUUUUGCUUGGUAACUUACUUUGUUCUGUCUGUUAUUACUUCAAACCGCUUAAAUCCUACUUUUUAUACUUAAUAAAACCACUUUUGUUUAUUAAUUAA